CAGACACUACACAUUCGUACUAAUGUUGUAAACUGAUUGAUAGGUAGGGCAUUGUUUUAGCGUAUUGUACCAUUGAUUGAUCUUGCUCUAUGUUCCUUAAUUAGGUAUUACAGGAGGAGCAGGGUUAGGAGCAGGAGGACUGGAAGGGGCAGGAAUAGCAGGAGGAGUUGGGGGUGAAGGGUAUGCGGAUGGUGUGAAACCACCAACAUAUGGAGGCGUCACUGGAGUAGGCCUUGACAUGCCAGGAGCUACUCCAGGUACACCUGUCGGUGGUGGUCCAGACGGUUCUGCUGUUGUGGUGCCAGCAAGGAAUGCAGGUACUGCUGGAACUCCUCCACCAGGUACAGUGAAAUGCCAAAACAGACAUUUACUUUACACAUAUUUACACAUGUAUGUUUUUGCAGUAGCUGUAAAAGCAUAUGGGAGGAACAGGAAGAAGCGCCUUUUUCACUUACAGUAUAAUUGGUAAUUGCACUCAGUACUGUGCCAUAAUGUGUCACCGCUACAUUUCUUUCAUCCAUUUCCUGCCAACACAUGUUGUUUGUAUUGCUAGUGCUACCAGCUAUUGACCACCUCUAGCUUACAGCCUCCCAGCUGUGGCAGUAUCAUAGUUCACCUCACAGCUUCUGCCUUUUGUAGUCUCUCCAACUCUGCGCCUGUUGAAAGCACAAUGGAUGAAACUGUAACAUGUUGUCUUUUGGCAGAGCCCACGCCUACUGCCGCAAUUGGCGAGACCACAGAGGUCCCACGGCCCAGUAAGACUUGCUGUUUGCAUGAAACUUAUUUGCCACUCUGAUGUAGUAUGGGACAAUCCUCUCAGUAUUUGUGAAUGAGAAUGUUUCUCCCGAAAAAGACACUUAAAAAAAUUGUUUUGCAGGUCAAUGUUUUAUCAAGCAUCCAGAUUUACCAUCCGAAUAAUUACAAUCGGUUAUUCACAAAAGUGUAUCCCUGCCACCUGUUUAGUUAAUUCUUUAUUGGUUUCCCAGGAGUCUCCACUGCUGUAUUUUGAUUUACAUGUAUUUAUUAAACAAUAU
This 1034-nucleotide long non-coding RNA is filed under the name Cottoperca gobio. RNAcentral describes it as "lncRNA (ENSCGOG00000013421.1)". Lineage: Eukaryota; Metazoa; Chordata; Actinopteri; Perciformes; Bovichtidae. The record is from RNAcentral.